GGGUCAUGAGUGUUGACACAAGAGGUCCACAGGCAAAAUAUGAGGAGUGAGGAAGGCAUGACUGUUCCUUUUGAUUUUCUGCAAUCUUUAUGGGACUAGCUUAGAAAACCUAAAAGGAGUUUUCUCUAUGUGGACUGACAGUGUUAUUAAACAAGGACAAGGACAGAGGUAAAUAUGAAAGAAACCAUAGCUCCUGGCUCUGUGUUCCUGCUGAGUUUGAAAGUUAGUGGAAUGUGGGAGUCAUUUCUCUUCUCAAAGUCCAUCUAGGUCCUAAGGUCUAUGUCACCAGUUUUCCUCAAGAAGAGAAGAGUUAUAAUAACAGGAAACAACUGACAUCCUGAGGGAGGCAGCACCAGCUUGACUGAUGGGCUUAGCUGUGUUCUGUGGUGGGUCUUCUGGAAUCAUCUGGAAUCAUCAGACUGGACCCAAGACUGAUCCCUGGGGACAUUACCAGUAUCCUCUUGGCUGGCUGGUGAUGUGCCUGAAACAACAGGACACGCUCAGCCCUCCUGCCUUCCAGGUCACUGCUGAUUCACGUUCAGCUUUCAGCCAACCAGGAUCCCCACAUCCCCUUCUGCUGCUCUGCUUUCCAGCAUCUCAAUCCCCAGUCUGUCCAUACACCCAGGGUAACCCCACCCCAGGUACGAAAUCCAGCAUUUUCCCUUGUUGAUCUUCACAUGGUUGGUGAUUGCUCAGCCCUCUGACUUGUCCAGGUCUCUCUGCAGGGUCUCCCUGACCUUGAGGAAGUCAACAGCUCCUUAUAGUUUUAUAUCUUCUGCAAACUUGCUUAGUAUACCUUGCAUUCCAGUGUCUAAGGCAUUUAUGAAGGUGUUGAAGAGCUCAGGGCUGAGGAUGGAGCCCUGUGGAGCCCCACUGGUGACAGAUCACCACUCUGAUGUCACCCCAUUCACUGUAACUCUCUGUGCCUCAUCCAUGAGCCAGCUGCUCACCCAUUCCAUUAUGUGUUUAUCCAGCUGAAUCCUGGAACUUUUGUUCCAAAAGAUCCUAUGAGAGACAAAACUUUUACUGAAAUAAAAAAAAAAUUAUAUUAGCUGGUUUUCUUGACCAUCUAAGUGGGUUAAAUUCUAGGUCACAAUUUUUUAUUACAAACCCUCUUUACAAAUUUAAGUUGAAGCUGAGAGAGUGUUCUCCCAUUUCCCUCUACUUUCAUAUUUUAAUUUCUUUGUCAUAUUCACUGAUACCUUGUUUGAAAGUACUUUGUAGAGUUCUAGAAAGACUAAUAAAAUAUUUUAUUUCCCUUGUUCCCCAGAUGAUCAUUAAUGAGCAGUAAAAUAAUUCAAAAUAAUACAGAUUGGUAGAAUAUCUUUUAAUCCUUUCCAAGACAAAACCACAAGAUGUAAUUAUUCUCUUAGCAUUCCAAGUGUCUGAUUGCUAGCAGUCUCACAUCUCUAGAUGCCUGUAAUUAUGCACUGUAAUUUGUUAGCACAUUUGAUUAAUUCAGAGAGACCACAUGUUUCUCCUCAUACAAAGAUAUAUGUAAUGGCAUGGAUCUCUUACUUCAUACAGUACACUAAUUGCUAAAUUUUGGGUUGUGUAACAGCAUAACAUUUGAAAAAUCAGCAAAGAGAUUAACUCUCCCA
Oenanthe melanoleuca is the source of this 1601-nucleotide long non-coding RNA. RefSeq lists it as uncharacterized. The record is from RefSeq and is a predicted model, not a curated record. NCBI's taxonomy places the organism in Eukaryota, Metazoa, Chordata, Aves, Passeriformes, Muscicapidae. The transcript is spliced from 4 exons.